AGUAAUUGCCCCCAGGGAGAGCAGAGGCCGCCAGCUCACACCCGUGCUGCUGUCGGGGCAGGAGAGGUGCCCAGGUGUGUUGCAUCGCUGUAUCCCGUGAUGAGGGGCAAGAACUCCCACAGCUCACACGGCUGGUCUGUAAACAGGGCAGCAGCAGCAGUAAGAGCUGGUUUCCACACUUGUCUCUGUCCCUGGUUUUCUGUGCUUUCAUCCUCCAGCAUGCCUAGCGAGGAUGGUCAUCCCUGACCUGCUUCUGUAAAAUGGCUCAAGGCCCUGGGACUGCUCAUGGUGCUGCUUUUGCCUUGUCUGUAGCCCAAGGAUGUUGGGGCACUGCGGGCAGGGAGGAAACCCUUUCUACAAACACCCGCUGGCAGAAGCGCUGUCCUUGAGCAGCUCUUUGCACAGUAGCGUGCAAAUCCUCCAGAAGAGAGCCCUGCUUUGUCCAGUGCACCCGGCGUUGGAUGCAUCCAGCCGUGCUUCACAAGCUGAGUAGAAGCGAGAUCUGCCUUCAUCAGGAGCUAACAGAAGCGAGACCACGAAAAGAACAGACACAAAUGGCUUUAAAACAAAGACCGGUGUAUUUCUACUAGACUAUUUGAUACAGAGGAUGCCUGUAGGAUGAAUGGUCACUGAGCCACAAUGAAGCCUCUAGGGAAGUGCCAAGGGGGCUGCAAGGAAAACAGACUACAGAAUGAAAAGCAGAACUUCUUGGGAAGCCCAAGACUACUUGCUCUUCAGACUGUGUCAGAAGACAUAGAGGAUGGGUUUGUUUGAGGACUAGUAAAAGAAGAAAAUACACUAUGUUGAAAUAGUCUUACCAGAAGUUUUUGGGCUGGAACUGGUGGCUCUCAAUACAGGCAAUAAUUGUCUGCUGCCCAUCUAUAGAUUUACCAUAAACCUGUAUUUAGAAAAAGAGUUAAAAAGGCCCAAGAGCUGAGGAAAGCCAUUCUUAAUUUCUGUUCUUGGCAGCAUUGUGGAGGCUUGCUAUUGUGGUAUCUCACUGGAAACAUAUACCACUAAUUGUCCAACACCUCCACUUGCACGUAUGUACAAAUAAUGCCUCCUUUUUAUUAACUGCAGGUGUUAAGGUGCGUGGCAGUCACAACUAUGAAAAAUAAGGUCUAAUACGUCUUUACCACUGUGUGCAUACCAAGAUAUUUGCACCCUCUUUGGAACUUGUUAUUCCAAAGUUAGCAAAAAUGCUAGUGAGGAUGGAGAAUUCGAAAAGCACUGCCCAGCACAAAGUCCACUCAAGGUACUGACUGACAUGGAGCAAUGAACUUUCAGUGAAACAAGAUGGAUACUCAACAGUACAGAAGCCAUUGGGGUAAUGAUCUUUCACAUAAGCUCUCAGUGCACUGUCACAGGCAUCUCUCCAUUGUUUUAAAGCUGAUUCUGUGUCCUCAGGCUGGGGGUCACUUGCUUCUUUCCUUAAAUGAUCAAACUUAAAAGAAAGUUUGUUUCUUGGGUCUAAAAAUCUGCCGUUGCCCAGAUCACCAUGUUCUGUGAUUAAGACCUGUAAAAGAAGUUGAAAUUAAGAUACACUUAUACUGCUGUAAAUGUGCUGGUUUGCAUUUUUUCCUGACUAUUUGAAUAGAUAUCAAUGUUUCAA
Molecule: long non-coding RNA, 1612 nt
Organism: Harpia harpyja (harpy eagle)
Lineage: Eukaryota; Metazoa; Chordata; Aves; Accipitriformes; Accipitridae
Exons: 4
Source: RefSeq, a predicted model, not a curated record